CACCCCUCAAGCCUGGCUUGGUGUUGGGCGACGUCCUCUUCAGGGACGCGCCUCGAAACGUUCGGCGGCGUGGCACCGGCUUUAAGCGUAGCAGAAUCUUAUCUUUCGCUUUGAAAGUCGGGGCCAUGUCUGCCGGAAGACCUACUCGCAA
RNAcentral lists this unclassified non-coding RNA (151 nucleotides) under uncultured Cenococcum. RNAcentral's name for it is "sequence contains ITS2". Lineage: Eukaryota; Fungi; Ascomycota; Dothideomycetes; Gloniales; Gloniaceae. The record is from RNAcentral.